CUGCGCGCGCUUGCACCAGGUGCCGCGCCGUCCUUGCCCAGGGCGGCCGGUUCAACGGGAAGCCGGUGCGCGGCGCGGUUCUUCACGGACCGGGUCGUCAUUCCGGCGCUGCCCCCGCAACGGUCAGCGAGGUGCCCUCAGCAUCGCAGCCACUGGUCCGAAGGGACUGGGAAGGCGCUGUCGGCUUCGGUCUCGUCCGCGGGACCGGCACUCGCAAGCCCGGAUACCGGCCUGAUGCUCGGGGAGCUG
RNAcentral lists this non-coding RNA (249 nucleotides) under Rubrivivax sp. Lineage: Bacteria; Pseudomonadati; Pseudomonadota; Betaproteobacteria; Burkholderiales; Sphaerotilaceae. The record is from RNAcentral.